UGGCUCUCGCAUCGAUGAAGAACGCAGCGAAAUGCGAUAAGUAAUGUGAAUUGCAGAAUUCAGUGAAUCAUCGAAUCUUUGAACGCAAAUUGCGCCCUUUGGUAUUCCGAAGGGCAUGCCUGUUUGAGUGUCAUAUAGACCUUCACCCGACCGGUUUUUCUUGACCGGGUCGUCGGUGCUUUGGACGCCUGCCAGCAGCUUGGUCUCUGGCUCGUCUUAAAUGUAUUAGUGGAUCCAGCAGCGUGAUAAGUUUACGUUCCGACGUCCACUCUAAUCUUGACAAGCUCUUGACCUCAAAUCAGGUAGGACUACCCGCUGA
This 319-nucleotide unclassified non-coding RNA is filed under the name uncultured fungus. RNAcentral's name for it is "partial contains 5.8S ribosomal RNA and internal transcribed spacer 2". The stretch from base 1 to 133 matches the Rfam family "5.8S ribosomal RNA", at positions 22 to 154 of the family's 154-position model. The record is from RNAcentral. Lineage: Eukaryota; Fungi.